AGUGAUGUUUGAGCCCCAGCAUAGAUCAGCAUGCCAGGAAGCAGCCCACCGGACCCACCCCUGAUCAUGGCACUGGACAUUGUUUUCCGUGCUUUUCUCAGGCUGGUUUCUGCCUGUCCCAACCCUGGCCAUGGCUGACAAGGGGCCCAGGGACACUGGAGCAGAGAGACCUGCUGGUCCUUGGGGUUUCUUGCAAGGUAGGACUCUACAUCCUCCCUUGGGAACUAAUUGAUCUGUCAGUAAAAUGUAAACUUCUGACUCCAUGGGUCUGUGAAUCAGCUGCCUCUAAAGGGAAAUAUCCCAGGAGUGAUGAAAACUUGAAGAUCGAGGAUUGGAUAUAAGCUCAGAGGUGAAGGAGGGAAAUUCCUCGGGUCAACUUUAGCGGACUGAUCCACGGGGUCUGCCAAGAGACAGGAGCUCGAGGGUUAAACCCAAGCACUCGGGAGUCAGAUGUAUGAAUCUGAAUCUCAGCCUCUCGGCUUGCUGUGUAAUCUCAGGCAAGUGACUUUUCUGUUCUGUAAAUCAGGCUGAUAGCGGGGGAACCUCUCUCACAGGGCUGCUACAAAGAUUGCAUGAGAUUUUGCUCAACAAAUAUUAGCUGUUGGCUCCAGAGUUUAAUACCUCUGAUCACUACAAGCUUUGAAGGCAAGAUAAAAUAACUUCAACAUAGUGAAUCAUCUGUGAACACUUCCUGUGAACGUGUGACUAUGAUUAUGGAACACUCUGUUGCAUCAAGAUGGCCAGAGAUUGUCUCAGAGUCCAGGCAGUGGGAGGAGGGGGGAUUUGUUUCCUGGCUGGGUGGUCGUAGGGCAUCAAGGGAUGAGCAGCUUUGGUUGUCUGGGAUUUCAGCAGCUUGAGGGGAGCUGUAGGGCCCCAGAGCUGUCGCUGUGGCUGUGGUGUCAGAAAUGUAAGCAAGGUGCCUCCAUGGAGGUUAGCGAGGGUGCCCCUCUGAAUGCCGGGUGGAAUGCAACCUUUCGCAUGGAGGAGGCCCUCAGCAGCUGACCUCUGUCUUCCCUGUGUAGAGGGAGGGAGGCUGAGGCUGGGGCUGAGCGAGGGGUAAAGUAAGCCACGUGUCUCAUCAGCUAGCCUGCAGCAAGCACAGCCCUCUGGGAGGGCUGGUUCUAUCCUCCUCCUUGGUGUGAAAUCCAUCAAUCUAAUAGGGAUCCUUAUUUUCCCAGCCACCAAGUCACAAUGAGCAAUAAUCUC
Molecule: long non-coding RNA, 1206 nt
Filed under: Homo sapiens (human)
Lineage: Eukaryota; Metazoa; Chordata; Mammalia; Primates; Hominidae
Description: non-protein coding LINC01693:10
Source: RNAcentral